GAGAAAGUCAUAAUGGUUAUGGGAUUGGCUUGAAACCAGUUUUAGGGGGUUCGAAUCCUUCCUUUCUUA
This 69-nucleotide transfer RNA is filed under the name Gerbilliscus leucogaster (Bushveld gerbil). RNAcentral describes it as "tRNA-Ser". It matches the Rfam family "tRNA". From Rfam's summary of the family: Transfer RNA (tRNA) molecules are approximately 80 nucleotides in length. Lineage: Eukaryota; Metazoa; Chordata; Mammalia; Rodentia; Muridae. The record is from RNAcentral.